GACGAACGCUGGCGGCGUGCUUAACACAUGCAAGUCGAACGGAAAGGCCCCUUUGGGGGUACUCGAGUGGCGAACGGGUGAGUAACACGUGAGUAACCUGCCCUUGACUUCGGGAUAACUUCAGGAAACUGGGGCUAAUACCGGAUAGGAAUCCUUGCUGCAUGGUGGGGGUUGGAAAGCUUCGGCGGUUUUGGACGGACUCGCGGCUUAUCGGCUUGUUGGUGGGGUAGUGGCUUACCAAGGCUUUGACGGGUAGCCGGCCAGAGGGGGCGACCGGCCACACUGGGACUGAGAGACGGCCCAGACUCCUACGGGAGGCAGCAGGGGGGAAUAUUGCACAAUGGGCGGAAGGCUGAUGCAGCAACGCCGCGUGCGGGAUGACGGCCUUCGGGUUGUAAACCGCUUUCAGCAGGGGCGAAGCUUGUGGUGACGGUACCUGCAGAAGAAGCACCGGCUAACUACGUG
Molecule: ribosomal RNA, 465 nt
Filed under: uncultured bacterium
Lineage: Bacteria
Description: partial 16S ribosomal RNA
Rfam family: Bacterial small subunit ribosomal RNA
Source: RNAcentral